AGAUGUAACCUUUCCCCUCAGUAGACAGCUUUGCAGGCUGUUCUUGUGUUUGCAGUCCCUGUGUAUAGCCUUCUCAAAAUACAAACGGCAUAUUUUGAGGUCUGGAGGCUAGAAGUCUGAAAUCAAGAAGUCUGCAUGCCCGUACUCCCUCCACAGGCUCUAGGGGAGGAUCCUUCCUUGCUUCUUCCAGCGUCUGGUGGCUCCAGGCGAGUGCUGACCUCACCUUGCAAAGCUCUCUGAAGUGUCUGAGCAGAGGGUCCACUCCUCCCCGGCAUACCUUUGCAGCAAUAUCCUGGCAGAUACUUUAUGUCAUGUUGCCAUGAACUGCAUUGUUCUGCCCCAAGCCCCAGGCUACUGGAAAAAAUGGUUGAAGACCUGAAAACUGUGACCCCUGUUGCCUAGCAACUGAGAAGCUCAGCCUCAACUCCGGGUGGGGGAGAUGAUGGAGAAAGGUACUGCAUUUUGAUAAAUUGAAGGUUUGUGGAACGCUGCAUUGAGCAAGUCUAUUGGUACCAUUUUCCAACAGCAUGUGCUCACUUCAUGUCUCUGUGCCACAUUUGGUUCUUCGGACUUCACACAUUCCAGCAGUAGCUCUCUCAGCUCCUGUCCUGCACAGCUUUGAAGUGCUGGUGAUGUCAUUGAACUCUUAAGUGCAAGAUGAAACAAGUCUUUCUGGGGUUCUAAGUAGAGUACUGAGCUGUCUCCGAAGAAUUCAGAUUAUUGAAUGUAGGCACCCUUUUCUGAUUUCCUUCAUCAAUUCAAUUCAGGAGAUGUGAUGCAAUGUGAUGUGUCAAUGACACAGGACUGGGCUGUGGCCCUUGGCGAGCCUCCCAAGCUAUUCAGUGAUGUUAGACAACCCACUUACC
Molecule: long non-coding RNA, 866 nt
Organism: Homo sapiens (human)
Lineage: Eukaryota; Metazoa; Chordata; Mammalia; Primates; Hominidae
Source: Ensembl